Medicago truncatula (barrel medic) is the source of this 1089-nucleotide long non-coding RNA. RefSeq lists it as uncharacterized. The record is from RefSeq and is a predicted model, not a curated record. The transcript has 4 exons. NCBI's taxonomy places the organism in Eukaryota, Viridiplantae, Streptophyta, Magnoliopsida, Fabales, Fabaceae.
GUAAGUGAAAUAGAUGAUUUUAAUUGGUGUAAUGUAAGUGAAAUAAAAAUCAACUACUUAAGAAUUUAAAAAUGUAUAACCCUCCAAUUGUUAAAUAAAUAAUUUUUACAAUAGAUUAUAAUCUAUAGAUUGAAAGAUUUUUCAUUUCUUUUUUGAAGGAAGAAAGAUAUUAAAUUUAAUUUUUUAUUUCUUUUCAAAAUAAAUAAAGUCCAAAUAAAAAUUUGAUGGAAAUUAUUUUUCAUUUAAAUUUUUGUUUUCUUUUGGUUCUUGUAUUUUGACUAUUUUCUUCAUUUGCUUCCAAUGCACUCUUUGCGAUUCCCAAUGCACUCUUCGUGAUUCCCAAUGCUUAAACAAGUGGAAGCUCGGUGCCUCAGUUGCUUGCACCGGAGAAACAAACAUCCAUUUCUCUUUCCUCUGAGAACACGUUCUGUUUCUUCUCAAGCAAAUCGACCAGGCCGAACCACACCACCACCGGUGAACUGCGACUGCAACCACUCUCCCUCCAUCCAUCAUCAGUUCACCAUCGCAUCCUCCUCCAUUUUCUGUUUCGAUUCAGCUAUCUUCAUCUCUCACAACAAACACUAAUUGUUGUAAUUUGUAAGGUAAAAUAUGAAAAGGUUGAAGAGCUGUCCACUGCAAGAUUGUGCAUUGAGGAACUAGAAUCUCAGGCAGCAUGUCGACAGAAAGAGGUAGACGUUUCUCCUUAACUGCUUAUUCUAUGGUGGUUGGCUUACAGCCUUGGGAAAGCGAGUUCAUUGAUUCAUGACGCGUUUGGGCUGAAUAUGCAUUGAAAAGGCAGGAAGCACAGGCACAAAAUAGGUGCUUGACCCUUGAGGAUUUGGAAGACUAAUGGGACAGAGGAAUACCACGUAUUAACACUUUGUUUCAGAAGGAUAGACACACUUUGGCUUAUGAUAAAGGAUGGAGGGUGCACACAGACUUUAAGCAGUAUCAAGUUUUAACACCAAAAUCCCUUCUAGUGCGCACAGACUUGAACAAUUACAGAACUGAUGUUAUUCAAGCCCUUGGAGGUGUUGAAGGAAUUCUUGAAACUUGCAAAUAUUUCACCAACCCAGGGAAAAGAGAGAU